UACGGAAGGCAGCAGUGGGGAAUUUUGGACAAUGGGCGCAAGCCUGAUCCAGCCAUGCCGCGUGAGUGAAGAAGGCCUUCGGGUUGUAAAGCUCUUUCGGACGGAAAGAAAUCGCGCAGGCUAAUACCCUGCGCGGAUGACGGUACCGUCAUAAGAAGCACCGGCUAACUACGUGCCAGCAGCCGCGGUAAUACGUAGGGUGCGAGCGUUAAUCGGAAUUACUGGGCGUAAAGCGUGCGCAGGCGGUUGAUUAAGACAGGCGUGAAAUCCCCGGGCUUAACCUGGGAACUGCGCUUGUGACUGGUCAGCUAGAGUACGGCAGAGGGGGUGGAAUUCCACGUGUAGCAGUGAAAUGCGUAGAGAUGUGGAGGAACACCGGAUGGCGAAGGCAGCCCCCUGGGGCCGAUACUGACGCUCAUGCACGAAAGCGUGGGUAGCAAACGAGGAUUAGAAUAACC
RNAcentral lists this ribosomal RNA (458 nucleotides) under uncultured bacterium. Its description in RNAcentral is "bacterial SSU rRNA". It matches the Rfam family "Bacterial small subunit ribosomal RNA", at positions 340 to 787 of the family's 1533-position model. The record is from RNAcentral.